GAUGAACGCUGGCGGCGUGCCUAAUACAUGCAAGUCGAGCGAACAGACGAGGAGCUUGCUCCUUCGACGUUAGCGGCGGACGGGUGAGUAACACGUAGGUAACCUACCUAUAAGACUGGGAUAACUUCGGGAAACCGGAGCUAAUACCGGAUAAUAUUUCGAACCGCAUGGUUCGAUAGUGAAAGAUGGCUUUGUUAUCACUUAUAGAUGGACCUGCGCCGUAUUAGCUAGUUGGUAAGGUAACGGCUUACCAAGGCAACGAUACGUAGCCGACCUGAGAGGGUGAUCGGCCACACUGGAACUGAGACACGGUCCAGACUCCUACGGGAGGCAGCAGUAGGGAAUCUUCCGCAAUGGGCGAAAGCCUGACGGAGCAACGCCGCGUGAGUGAUGAAGGUCUUCGGAUCGUAAAACUCUGUUAUUAGGGAAGAACAAACGUGUAAGUAACUGUGCACGUCUUGACGGUACCUAAUCAGAAAGCCACGGCUAACUACGUG
RNAcentral lists this ribosomal RNA (497 nucleotides) under uncultured bacterium. RNAcentral's name for it is "partial 16S ribosomal RNA". It matches the Rfam family "Bacterial small subunit ribosomal RNA", at positions 28 to 507 of the family's 1533-position model. The record is from RNAcentral.